GACGAACGCUGGCGGCGUGCUUAACACAUGCAAGUCGAACGGAAAGGCCCUGCUUUUGUGGGGUGCUCGAGUGGCGAACGGGUGAGUAGCACGUGAGUAACCUGCCCUUGACUUUGGGAUAACUUCAGGAAACUGGGGCUAAUACCGGAUAGGAGCUCCUGCUGCAUGGUGGGGGUUGGAAAGUUUCGGCGGUUGGGGAUGGACUCGCGGCUUAUCAGCUUGUUGGUGAGGUAGUGGCUUACCAAGGCUUUGACGGGUAGCCGGCCUGAGAGGGUGACCGGCCACAUUGGGACUGAGAUACGGCCCAGACUCCUAAGGAAGGCAGCAGUGGGGAAUAUUGCACAAUGGGCGGAAGACUGAUGCAGCAACGCCGCGUGCGGGAUGACGGCCUUCGGGUUGUAAGCCGCUUUCGCCUGCGACGAAGCGUGAGUGAAGGUAAUGGGUAAAGAAGCACCGGCUAACUAAGUG
Molecule: ribosomal RNA, 468 nt
Filed under: uncultured bacterium
Lineage: Bacteria
Description: partial 16S ribosomal RNA
Rfam family: Bacterial small subunit ribosomal RNA
Source: RNAcentral